This 64-nucleotide transfer RNA is filed under the name Opisthotropis guangxiensis. RNAcentral's name for it is "tRNA-Val". The record is from RNAcentral. Lineage: Eukaryota; Metazoa; Chordata; Lepidosauria; Squamata; Natricidae.
CAAAAAGUAGCUUACCAAAAGCAUUCAACCUACGCUUGAACGACAUUACACAUAAUCUUUUUGA